Molecule: ribosomal RNA, 369 nt
Filed under: uncultured bacterium
Lineage: Bacteria
Description: bacterial SSU rRNA
Rfam family: Bacterial small subunit ribosomal RNA
Source: RNAcentral
ACGGAGGGUGCAAGCGUUAUCCGGAUUUACUGGGUUUAAAGGGUGCGUAGGUGGGCUUGUAAGUCAGUGGUGAAAUCUCCGGGCUUAACCCGGAAACUGCCAUUGAUACUAUAGGUCUUGAAUUAUAUGGAGGUAAGCGGAAUAUGUCAUGUAGCGGUGAAAUGCUUAGAUAUGACAUAGAACACCAAUUGCGAAGGCAGCUUACUACGUAUAUAUUGACACUGAGGCACGAAAGCGUGGGGAUCAAACAGGAUUAGAUACCCUGGUAGUCCACGCCCUAAACGAUGGAUACUCGACAUCAGCGAUACACUGUUGGUGUCUGAGCGAAAGCAUUAAGUAUCCCACCUGGGAAGUACGAUCGCAAGAUUG